GCCAAACAGCUAGCUUAAUCACUAAUUUUAACCCAACAAUGUUUAUAAAAAAACAUGACCCACCCCUAAAAAUUAAACCAUUUUUUUACCUGAGUAUGGGAGACAGAAAAGGUUCACCCAAAGCAAUAGAGAAAGUACCGCAAGGGAAAGCUGAAAGAGAAAUGAAACAACCCAUAUAAGCACUAAAAAACAAAGAUUAAAUCUUGUACCUUUUGCAUCAUGAUUUAGUAAGUACACUCAAGCAAAGAGACCUUUAGUUUGUAACCCCGAAACCAGGUGAGCUACCCCGAGACAGCCUAUAUAAAUUAGGGCUAACCCGUCUCUGUGGCAAAAGAGUGGGAAGAGCUCCGGGUAGAAGUGACAGACCUACCGAACCUGGUGAUAGCUGGUUGCCUGAGAAAUGGAUAGAAGUUCAGCCCCGCAUACCCCAGACCAAGACCCUAAACUUUAAGGUAAUUUUAAGGGAGACGUACGGGAGUUAGUUAAAGGGGGUACAGCCCCUCUAACAAAGGAUACAACCUUGCCAGGAGGAUAAAGAUCAUAAUAUUUAAAACAAACUGUUUUAGUGGGCCUAAAAGCAGCCAUCUAAACAGAAAGCGUUAAAGCUCAAACAGAAUGAAGUUUAUUAUACCGAUAAAAAAUCUUAUUCCCCUAAAGAUAUCAGGCCAUCCCAUGCUCGCAUGGGAGAAAUUAUGCUAAAAUGAGUAACAAGAAGACCUGUUCUUCUCCAAGCACAAGUGUAAAACCAGAUCGGACAAGCCACUGGAAAAUAACGAACUCAACCCCAAGAGAGUACUGUGAACAAUAUAGUAACCAAGAAAAACUCACAACCAAAUAAUCGUUAACCCCACACUGGAGUGCUAUUUUUAAAGGAAAGACUAAAAGAAAGGGAAGGAACUCGGCAAACACAAGCCUCGCCUGUUUACCAAAAACAUCGCCUCCUGCAACUAGAUUAAGUAUAGGAGGUCCAGCCUGCCCAGUGACUACGGGUUCAACGGCCGCGGUAUUUUGACCGUGCAAAGGUAGCGCAAUCACUUGUCUUUUAAAUAGAGACCUGUAUGAAUGGCUAAACGAGGGCUUAACUGUCUCCCCCUUCCAGUCAGUGAAAUUGAUCUAUCCGUGCAGAAGCGGGUAUAAUAAUACAAGACGAGAAGACCCUUUGGAGCUUAAGGUACAAAAUUUAACCACGUUAAACAACUAAACAAAAAGCAAAAACUUAGUGGAACAUAAUAUUUUACCUUCGGUUGGGGCGACCGCGGAGGAAAAACUAGCCUCCGAGUGGAAUGGGAUAAAUUCCUAAAACCAAGAGAAACAUCUCUAAGCCGCAGAACAUCUGACCAAUAAUGAUCCGGCCUUAUGGCCGAUCAACGAACCAAGUUACCCUAGGGAUAACAGCGCAAUCCUCUCCCAGAGUCCAUAUCGACGAGGGGGUUUACGACCUCGAUGUUGGAUCAGGACAUCCUAAUGGUGCAGCCGCUAUUAAGGGUUCGUUUGUUCAACGAUUAAAGUCCUACGUGAUCUGAGUUCAGACCGGAGUAAUCCAGGUCAGUUUCUAUCUGUAAAGCUACUUUUCCUAGUACGAAAGGAUCGGAAAAGAGGGGCCCAUACUUAAAGCACGCCCCACCCCUAAUUAAUGAAAACAAAUAAAUUAGAUAAAGGGAGGGCCUAAACCCUGCCGCCCAAAAUAAGGGCA
RNAcentral lists this ribosomal RNA (1693 nucleotides) under Microphysogobio liaohensis. RNAcentral's name for it is "16S ribosomal RNA". It matches the Rfam family "Bacterial large subunit ribosomal RNA". The record is from RNAcentral. Lineage: Eukaryota; Metazoa; Chordata; Actinopteri; Cypriniformes; Gobionidae.